RNAcentral lists this long non-coding RNA (1058 nucleotides) under Brachypodium distachyon (stiff brome). RNAcentral describes it as "long non-coding RNA (BDIS_LNC001477)". Lineage: Eukaryota; Viridiplantae; Streptophyta; Magnoliopsida; Poales; Poaceae. The record is from RNAcentral.
ACAACAGCAAAGCAAGAGACCGACCGACCUCGCGCCCGAUUUAGCAAGAACGAACGCCGGGAAGUUGGGCGUGAUAGAUGAAUUUAUGAAUAUGCAUGCAUGGUCGAUCGCUAGCAGCUGCAAAUGGACGAUGCCACACCUUUUUGCGUCAUCGAGCGAUCUCUGCAUGCAUGGAGCUAAAGUUUUAAAAGCGCGCUAGCUGCACUAGCAAUAGGACCAAAAGCAUGGAUGGAUGCGUGAAUGACAACACGAAGAUCGAUCAAGGUAGACAAAAUCGAGACCAUGCAUGUCUCGUCAAAUCGAUCUCGCCACACUUGUCGUUUAAGCAAGGCUUGUUUGUUUUUUACUGCAUGCAAAGUGUGGCAUUAUCAUAUCAUUCAAAGCUAGCCAGUCGACUCGCAUGCACGUACGUACGCCAUAUCUGGCUCAAAGUUUAGUCGGUCGAUCACUUGAUUAUAAUUGCACCGUGCGUCACCUCAGGACACAGAAGAGGACAUGGGUGUACAGGAGGAGAGAAUCGAUCUGGAGCUAGCUAGCAAAGCUUUGGCCAGGAGUAUAGCAAGCAACCAACACGUCAACCUAGGUAGGUAGCUUUUGCUUUGGAACCGGGAGAAAAAAUUAAUAAGAAAUUGUGUCGGAGAUGUUUUUUUGCUGGUGAAGGGGGCGAGAGACUUUUGUUGCCUUUGGAAAUGCAUGCCAUUUAUUCUUGCGUGGAGAACACUGCAGAAGUAGCUGCCAGAACUGAAGUGAGAGCAGAACUAGCAUCACACUCCAUUAAAGUGUGUGUGCAAAGUCUGACUUCGACACAGCCAGCAGACACAUGCAAUGUGACAUGCAUGACGUGUGCAUGCGUACGUACUUGUGUUAUGAACACAAAAAAAAAAAAACGAUUCUUCCUUGUUGGCUUGACAAAAAACGUAUAGACAAAGAUGUCUAUAUGUACCUCAGGUGUCACGUACGAUCGAGUGAAUCGAUCGAUGUGCGCGCAUGCAUCGAUUUCACGCCAUUUUGUUAUCUAGCUUUUGAACUUUUGCUACCCUGCAUGCAUGCCGCCAGUU